RNAcentral lists this ribosomal RNA (459 nucleotides) under uncultured Latescibacterota bacterium. RNAcentral describes it as "bacterial SSU rRNA". It matches the Rfam family "Bacterial small subunit ribosomal RNA", at positions 925 to 1382 of the family's 1533-position model. Lineage: Bacteria; Pseudomonadati; Candidatus Latescibacterota. The record is from RNAcentral.
ACAAGCGGUGGAGGCAUGUGGUUAAUUCGAUGAUACGCGAGACCUUACCGGGUUUGACAUGCAGGUGAUCGCCCGUUGUAAACGACGGUUUCCUCUUCGGAGGCACCUGCACAGGUGCUGCAUGGCUGUCGUCAGCUCGUGUCGUGAGAUGUUGGGUUAAGUCCCGCAACGAGCGCAACCCUUAUCCCCAGUUGCCAUCAGGUAAAGCUGGGAACUCUGGGGAGACUGCCGGUGAUAAACCGGAGGAAGGCGGGGAUGACGUCAAGUCCUCAUGGCCCUUACAUCCCGGGCUACACACGUGCUACAAUGGCAGGUACAGAGGGCUGCGAAGCCGCGAGGUGGAGCGAAUCCCAGAAAACCUGUCUCAGUCCGGAUUGAAGUCUGCAACUCGACUUCAUGAAGGCGGAAUCGCUAGUAACCGCGAAUCAGCAGGUCGCGGUGAAUACGUUCCCGGGUCUU